CUCAAGGUCUGUACCGUUUGGGUCACGCCCCACUGUAGGAUACUCACCGCUGUCCUUAACUGGGUGGCGGUCAAAGGGGGUGUGCAUGGGGGCAACUCUGUGCAUAUCUCUGGGGUUCCUACUCUUUUACUUUGAGCAAAUUAGAGUGUUCAAAGCAGGCAAUCGAGCCUUGAAUACUUCAGCAUGGGAUAAUGGAACAGGACUGGGGUCCUGAUUUCGUUGGUUUCUAGGAUCUCAGUAAUGAUUAAUAGGGAUAGUUGGGGGCAUUAGUAUUUAAUUGUCAGAGGUGAAAUUCUUGGAUUUAUGAAAGACUAACUUCUGCGAAAGCAUUUGCCAAGGAUGUUUUCAUUAAUCAAGAACGAAAGUUAGGGGAUCGAAGACGAUCAGAUACCGUCGUAGUCUUAACCAUAAACGAUGCCGACCAGCGAUUGGGAGACGUUACAUGGAUGACUCCCCCAGCAGCUUGCGAGAAAUCACAAGUCUUUGGGUUCCGGGGGGAGUAUGGUCGCAAGGCUGAAACUUAAAGGAAUUGACGGAAGGGCACCACCAGGAGUGGAGCCUGCGGCUUAAUUUGACUCAACACGGGGAAACUUACCAGGUCCAGACAUAGUAAGGAUUGACAGAUUUGAGAGCUCUUUCUUGAUUCUAUGGGUGGUGGUGCAUGGCCGUUCUUAGUUGGUGGAGUGAUUUAUCUGGUUAAUUCCGUUAACGAACGAGACCUUAACCUGCUAAAUAUGUCACUGGUAGACUUCUGCCAAAACAGGUGGGUGUCUAGGGGAAAGCUUCGAUGGACUCCGACGCAUUCAUCUGUGGAUGACUACCAGGAUGUACUUCUUAGAGGGACUAUCUGUAUCAAAGCAGAUGGAAGUUUGAGGCAAUAACAGGUCUGUGAUGCCCUUAGAUGUUCUGGGCCGCACGCGCGCUACACUGACAAGUUCAACGAGUUUAACACCUUGCUCGAUAGGGCUGGGUAAUCUUUGAAAAACUUGUCGUGAUGGGGAUAGAUCAUUGUAAUUAUUGGUCUUCAACGAGGAAUUCCUAGUAAGCGUGAGUCAUCAGCUCGCGUUGAUUACGUCCCUGCCCUUUGUACACACCGCCCGUCGCUCCUACCGAUUGAAUGAUCCGGUGAAAUGUUGGGAGCUGGGGUCUUUUGGCGGCGGGGCAACUCGUCGUCAGGGAUUCUGCAAACUUCAUUAAACCUUAUCAUUUAGA
Molecule: ribosomal RNA, 1212 nt
Filed under: metagenome
Description: SSU rRNA
Rfam family: Eukaryotic small subunit ribosomal RNA
Source: RNAcentral